AUACCAUGGUGAGGGCAUCUCCUUAAUAAUUCUUUGAAUCGCUCCCAUGCUUCAUAAAGAGAUUCCUCAUCUUGUUAAUGAAAAGUGGUAAUCUCAUUUUGGAGUUU
Small nucleolar RNA from Humulus lupulus (European hop), 107 nucleotides. Lineage: Eukaryota; Viridiplantae; Streptophyta; Magnoliopsida; Rosales; Cannabaceae. The record is from RefSeq and is a predicted model, not a curated record.